RNAcentral lists this ribosomal RNA (468 nucleotides) under uncultured bacterium. RNAcentral's name for it is "partial 16S ribosomal RNA". It matches the Rfam family "Bacterial small subunit ribosomal RNA", at positions 28 to 507 of the family's 1533-position model. The record is from RNAcentral.
GACGAACGCUGGCGGCGUGCUUAACACAUGCAAGUAGAACGGAAAGGCCCUGCUUUUGUGGGGUGCUCGAGUGGCGAACGGGUGAGUAACAAGUGAGUAACCCGCCCUUGCCUGUGGGCUAACUUCAGGUAACUGGGGCUAAUACCGGAUAGGAGCUCCUGCUGCAGGGUGGGGGUUGGAAAGUUUCGGCGGUUGGGGAUGGACUCGCGGCUUAUCAGCUUGUUGGUGGGGUGGUGGCUUACCAAGGCUUUGACGGGUAGCCGGCCUGAGAGGGUGACCGGCCACAUUGGGACUGGGAUACGGCCCGGACUCCUACGGGAGGCAGCAGUGGGGAAUAUUGCACAAUGGGCGGAAGCCGGAUGCAGCAAGGCCGCGUGCGGGAUGACGGCCUUCGGGUGGUAAACCGCUUUCGCCUGUGACGAGGCGUGAGUGACGGUAAUGGGUAAAGAAGCACCGGCUAACUACGUG